This 448-nucleotide ribosomal RNA is filed under the name uncultured Microbacteriaceae bacterium. Its description in RNAcentral is "bacterial SSU rRNA". It matches the Rfam family "Bacterial small subunit ribosomal RNA", at positions 335 to 795 of the family's 1533-position model. Lineage: Bacteria; Bacillati; Actinomycetota; Actinomycetes; Micrococcales; Microbacteriaceae. The record is from RNAcentral.
UGCCCUACGGGGGGCUGCAGUGGGGAAUAUUGCACAAUGGGCGCAAGCCUGAUGCAGCAACGCCGCGUGAGGGACGACGGCCUUCGGGUUGUAAACCUCUUUUAGUAGGGAAGAAGCGAAAGUGACGGUACCUGCAGAAAAAGCACCGGCUAACUACGUGCCAGCAGCCGCGGUAAUACGUAGGGUGCAAGCGUUAUCCGGAAUUAUUGGGCGUAAAGAGCUCGUAGGCGGUCUGUCGCGUCUGCUGUGAAAACUGGGGGCUCAACCUCCAGCCUGCAGUGGGUACGGGCAGACUAGAGUGCGGUAGGGGAGAUUGGAAUUCCUGGUGUAGCGGUGGAAUGCGCAGAUAUCAGGAGGAACACCGAUGGCGAAGGCAGAUCUCUGGGCCGUAACUGACGCUGAGGAGCGAAAGCAUGGGGAGCGAACAGGAUUAGAUACCCGAGUAGUC